RNAcentral lists this ribosomal RNA (492 nucleotides) under uncultured bacterium. Its description in RNAcentral is "partial 16S ribosomal RNA". It matches the Rfam family "Bacterial small subunit ribosomal RNA", at positions 29 to 507 of the family's 1533-position model. The record is from RNAcentral.
AGUGAACGCUGGCGGUAGGCCUAACACAUACAAGUCGAACGGCAGCACAGUAAGAGCUUGCUCUUACGGGUGGCGAGUGGCGGACGGGUGAGGAAUACAUCGGAAUCUACUUUUUCGUGGGGGAUAACGUAGGGAAACUUACGCUAAUACCGCAUACGACCUACGGGUGAAAGCAGGGGAUCUUCGGACCUUGCGCGAUUGAAUGAGCCGAUGUCGGAUUAGCUAGUUGGCGGGGUAAAGGCCCACCAAGGCGACGAUCCGUAGCUGGUCUGAGGGGAUGAUCCGCCACACUUGAACUGAGACACGGUCCAGACUCCUACGGGAGGCAGCAGUGGGGAAUAUUGGACAAUGGGCGCAAGCCUGAUCCAGCCAUACCGCGUGGGUGAAGAAGGCCUUCGGGUUGUAAAGCCCUUUUGUUGGGAAAGAAAAGCAGCAGGUUAAUACCCCGCUGUUCUGACGGUACCCAAAGAAUAAGCACCGGCUAACUUCGUG